Lolium rigidum is the source of this 1364-nucleotide RNA transcript. RefSeq lists it as uncharacterized. The transcript has 5 exons. Lineage: Eukaryota; Viridiplantae; Streptophyta; Magnoliopsida; Poales; Poaceae. The record is from RefSeq and is a predicted model, not a curated record.
GCGGGAGAUGAAAUGUUUAGCACUUGAGCGUGAGGCCACAUCCCGAGCCCCACCCCAUCCCACAGAACCACUCCCCCACGACCUACCCCCAUCCCAGCGCCUCCACUUUCCUCCACCUCCGCCGCCGGCCGAGAUCCCGGCCACUCCGGCGACGCCCUGCAGCGCUGACUCUCGUCCCUGAAUCCCCUCCUCCCCCUCUCUCUAUUCCACCCCAUGAAACCUCCAAAUUGUCUGCCCCAAAGCAAACCCUAGCCCGGGAUCCAGGAGGUGCUGCAGGAGGUCCGUGGCGACGGCGGCGCCCCGGCAGCGGGCGGUGGUGACUCGGAUCGGCGACCGGGUACACCGCGCAUGGCAGAUGCGGCCGGCCAGCGAGUCCCGGUCGUGACCGACGCCAGCGACCCGAGGGACUGCAUUACGCCGGCAACCGCCUCCGGGCGCCAAGGACUACUGCGGCAUCAGCCACCCCUCCUCCUUGUCGUUCCCCAUCCAGGCCAGCCUCCACCGCACCUCCUGAACCAGCCCCCGCAGUAGAUUGAUGCCGUCGCCCUCUCCCUGAACCACUAGGUCGACCCACCGAUGGUUGCCUUCCCCGGCGUCCUUGGCCGGCCGAGGCACGGCGAGCUGUUGCUCCUGCUGCCAGCGACGUCCACGACCACGGCCUUCUGCUGCAAUCCACCUCACCAACCUCCUGCUGCCGAGCUGAAUGCGACAUGAUGCUUACCUGUCUGCUGGAGUGCAUCAACCCUGGCCACGACACUGUGUUCGCAGUCUUGAGUUCACUGCAGCGGUGCUUUCUCCCGAGAAGAACGGGCUCCACCUCAACCUCGUACAUAAUGGCCAGAUGAUUCUUUUCCUCAUUAUACUACGUGUGUUUCAUUGUAAGGGUGGAUUUUGGCACGGAUGAGUACCUGCAAUGGCCAGCGUCAACGACAAUGCGGACCAGAUCUUCAACUGCAGCCCCAUCGGCUGCAUCUUCAUGUUGUCAGGGUGGUAACCACAUCAUCAAGAGGAUUCGUGUCAGUGUGGAGCAUGUGCAGCCAUCCAUGGCCAGGAGUUCCAGCUGACUCGACCCUGUUGCUGCUAUCUCCUUCAUCCAUGAGGAGUUCUAUGGCAAAAAAAUCAAAGAAUUUUGUUACUUCUGGAGGUGUUGGCCUAGUUCUGGGAACUAGUUCUAUGUUGGAAUUGUUUCGGGAGCUAGUGAUCGUAUAUUCUGGGGAACUGUGAAUCUGUUAUUUGAUAUGUGCUUAGACAAUUUGUUGUUAUUUGAUAAGUACUGAGACAAUUUACGGUUAUUUUGAUAAAUGCUGAGAAAAUUUAUCGUUAUUUGAUGUGUGCUGUGACAAUUACUAUUAUUUGAUAUGUGA